Molecule: ribosomal RNA, 301 nt
Filed under: uncultured bacterium
Lineage: Bacteria
Description: partial 16S ribosomal RNA
Rfam family: Bacterial small subunit ribosomal RNA
Source: RNAcentral
CAGUCGCCGCGGGAAUACGUAGGUGGCAAGCGUUGUCCGGAAUUAUUGGGCGUAAAGGGCUCGCAGGCGGUUUCUUAAGUCUGAUGUGAAAGCCCCCGGCUCAACCGGGGAGGGUCAUUGGAAACUGGGAAACUUGAGUGCAGAAGAGGAGAGUGGAAUUCCACGUGCAGCGGUGAAAUGCGUAGAGAUGUGGAGGAACACCAGUGGCGAAGGCGACUCUUUGGUCUGUAACUGACGCUGAGGAGCGAAAGCGUGGGGAGCGAACAGGAUUAGAUACCCCAGUAGUCCCUGUCUCUUAUAA